GGUUAAGCGACUAAGCGUACACGGUGGAUGCCCUGGCAGUCAGAGGCGAUGAAGGACGUGCUAAUCUGCGAUAAGCGUCGGUAAGGUGAUAUGAACCGUUAUAACCGGCGAUUUCCGAAUGGGGAAACCCAGUGUGAUUCGUCACACUAUCAUUAACUGAAUCCAUAGGUUAAUGAGGCGAACCGGGGGAACUGAAACAUCUAAGUACCCCGAGGAAAAGAAAUCAACCGAGAUUCCCCCAGUAGCGGCGAGCGAACGGGGAGCAGCCCAGAGCCUGAAUCAGUGUGUGUGUUAGUGGAAGCGUCUGGAAAGGCGCGCGAUACAGGGUGACAGCCCCGUACACAAAAAUGCACAUGCUGUGAGCUCGAUGAGUAGGGCGGGACACGUGGUAUCCUGUCUGAAUAUGGGGGGACCAUCCUCCAAGGCUAAAUACUCCUGACUGACCGAUAGUGAACCAGUACCGUGAGGGAAAGGCGAAAAGAACCCCGGCGAGGGGAGUGAAAAAGAACCUGAAACCGUGUACGUACAAGCAGUGGGAGCCUCUUUAUGGGGUGACUGCGUACCUUUUGUAUAAUGGGUCAGCGACUUAUAUUCUGUAGCAAGGUUAACCGAAUAGGGGAGCCGAAGGGAAACCGAGUCUUAACUGGGCGUUAAGUUGCAGGGUAUAGACCCGAAACCCGGUGAUCUAGCCAUGGGCAGGUUGAAGGUUGGGUAACACUAACUGGAGGACCGAACCGACUAAUGUUGAAAAAUUAGCGGAUGACUUGUGGCUGGGGGUGAAAGGCCAAUCAAACCGGGAGAUAGCUGGUUCUCCCCGAAAGCUAUUUAGGUAGCGCCUCGUGAAUUCAUCUCCGGGGGUAGAGCACUGUUUCGGCAAGGGGGUCAUCCCGACUUACCAACCCGAUGCAAACUGCGAAUACCGGAGAAUGUUAUCACGGGAGACACACGGCGGGUGCUAACGUCCGUCGUGAAGAGGGAAACAACCCAGACCGCCAGCUAAGGUCCCAAAGUCAUGGUUAAGUGGGAAACGAUGUGGGAAGGCCCAGACAGCCAGGAUGUUGGCUUAGAAGCAGCCAUCAUUUAAAGAAAGCGUAAUAGCUCACUGGUCGAGUCGGCCUGCGCGGAAGAUGUAACGGGGCUAAACCAUGCACCGAAGCUGCGGCAGCGACGCUUAUGCGUUGUUGGGUAGGGGAGCGUUCUGUAAGCCUGCGAAGGUGUGCUGUGAGGCAUGCUGGAGGUAUCAGAAGUGCGAAUGCUGACAUAAGUAACGAUAAAGCGGGUGAAAAGCCCGCUCGCCGGAAGACCAAGGGUUCCUGUCCAACGUUAAUCGGGGCAGGGUGAGUCGACCCCUAAGGCGAGGCCGAAAGGCGUAGUCGAUGGGAAACAGGUUAAUAUUCCUGUACUUGGUGUUACUGCGAAGGGGGGACGGAGAAGGCUAUGUUGGCCGGGCGACGGUUGUCCCGGUUUAAGCGUGUAGGCUGGUUUUCCAGGCAAAUCCGGAAAAUCAAGGCUGAGGCGUGAUGACGAGGCACUACGGUGCUGAAGCAACAAAUGCCCUGCUUCCAGGAAAAGCCUCUAAGCAUCAGGUAACAUCAAAUCGUACCCCAAACCGACACAGGUGGUCAGGUAGAGAAUACCAAGGCGCUUGAGAGAACUCGGGUGAAGGAACUAGGCAAAAUGGUGCCGUAACUUCGGGAGAAGGCACGCUGAUA
RNAcentral lists this ribosomal RNA (1712 nucleotides) under Escherichia coli. Its description in RNAcentral is "partial 23S ribosomal RNA". It matches the Rfam family "Bacterial large subunit ribosomal RNA", at positions 1 to 1756 of the family's 2925-position model. Lineage: Bacteria; Pseudomonadati; Pseudomonadota; Gammaproteobacteria; Enterobacterales; Enterobacteriaceae. The record is from RNAcentral.